Molecule: ribosomal RNA, 253 nt
Filed under: uncultured bacterium
Lineage: Bacteria
Description: partial 16S ribosomal RNA
Rfam family: Bacterial small subunit ribosomal RNA
Source: RNAcentral
UACGUAGGGUGCAAGCGUUGUCCGGAAUUACUGGGCGUAAAGCGUGCGCAGGCGGUUCGCCAAGUCAGGUGUGAAAUCCCCGGGCUUAACCUGGGAAUUGCGCUUGAAACUAGCGGGCUUGAGUGUGGCAGAGGGGGGUGGAAUUCCACGUGUAGCAGUGAAAUGCGUAGAGAUGUGGAGGAACACCGAUGGCGAAGGCAGCCCCCUGGGUCAACACUGACGCUCAUGCACGAAAGCGUGGGGAGCAAACAGG